GAUGAACGCUGGCGGCGUGCCUAAUACAUGCAAGUCGAGCGAACAGACGAGGAGCUUGCUCCUCUGACGUUAGCGGCGGACGGGUGAGUAACACGUGGAUAACCUACCUAUAAGACUGGGAUAACUUCGGGAAACCGGAGCUAAUACCGGAUAAUAUAUUGAACCGCAUGGUUCAAUAGUGAAAGACGGUUUUGCUGUCACUUAUAGAUGGAUCCGCGCCGCAUUAGCUAGUUGGUAAGGUAACGGCUUACCAAGGCAACGAUGCGUAGCCGACCUGAGAGGGGGCUGGGCCACCCGGAAAGUGAGACAGGGCCCAGACCCCUAGGGGGGGACAGAGGGGGAAAUUUUCCAAAGGGGGCGAAACCCUACCGGCCAAACCGCGGGGGAGAAAAAAGGGUUUUGGGACCAAAAACCUCUUUUUUUGGGAAAAAAAAAAUGUGAAAGUACCUAUCCCCGUUUUGGCGGCCCCAAAAAAAAACCCCCGGGCAAACUGCG
RNAcentral lists this ribosomal RNA (495 nucleotides) under uncultured bacterium. RNAcentral's name for it is "partial 16S ribosomal RNA". It matches the Rfam family "Bacterial small subunit ribosomal RNA", at positions 28 to 505 of the family's 1533-position model. The record is from RNAcentral.